This 465-nucleotide ribosomal RNA is filed under the name uncultured bacterium. RNAcentral's name for it is "partial 16S ribosomal RNA". It matches the Rfam family "Bacterial small subunit ribosomal RNA", at positions 28 to 507 of the family's 1533-position model. The record is from RNAcentral.
GACGAACGCUGGCGGCGUGCUUAACACAUGCAAGUCGAACGGUAAGGCUCCAGCUUGCUGGGGUACACGAGUGGCGAACGGGUGAGUAACACGUGGGUGACCUGCCCUGCACUUCGGGAUAAGCCUGGGAAACUGGGUCUAAUACCGGAUAGGACCGCACCGUGAGGGUGUGGUGGAAAGUUUUUUCGGUGUGGGAUGGGCCCGCGGCCUAUCAGCUUGUUGGUGGGGUAAUGGCCUACCAAGGCGGCGACGGGUAGCCGGCCUGAGAGGGUGGACGGCCACAUUGGGACUGAGACACGGCCCAGACUCCUACGGGAGGCAGCAGUGGGGAAUAUUGCACAAUGGGCGGAAGCCUGAUGCAGCGACGCCGCGUGGGGGAUGACGGCCUUUGGGUUGUAAACUCCUUUCACCAUCGACGAAGGGUUUCUGACGGUAGAUGGAGAAGAAGCACCGGCUAACUACGUG